GAUGAACGCUGGCGGCGUGCCUAAUACAUGCAAGUCGAGCGAACAGACGAGGAGCUUGCUCCUCUGACGUUAGCGGCGGACGGGUGAGUAACACGUGGAUAACCUACUUAUAAGACUGGGAUAACUUCGGGAAACCGGAGCUAAUACCAGAUAAUAUAUUGAACCGCAUGGUUCAAUAGUGAAAGACGGUUUUGCUGUCACUUAUAGAUGGAUCCGCGCCGCAUUAGCUAGUUGGUAAGGUAACGGCUUACCAAGGCAACGAUGCGUAGCCGACCUGAGAGGGUGAUCGGCCACACUGGAACUGAGACACGGUCCAGACUCCUACGGGAGGCAGCAGUAGGGAAUCUUCCGCAAUGGGCGAAAGCCUGACGGAGCAACGCCGCGUGAGUGAUGAAGGUCUUCGGAUCGUAAAACUCUGUUAUUAGGGAAGAACAAAUGUGUAAGUAACUAUGCACGUCUUGACGGUACCUAAUCAGAAAGCCACGGCUAACUACGUG
Molecule: ribosomal RNA, 497 nt
Filed under: uncultured bacterium
Lineage: Bacteria
Description: partial 16S ribosomal RNA
Rfam family: Bacterial small subunit ribosomal RNA
Source: RNAcentral